This 64-nucleotide transfer RNA is filed under the name Macrohyliota sp. 2 MJ-2020. Its description in RNAcentral is "tRNA-Asp". The record is from RNAcentral. Lineage: Eukaryota; Metazoa; Arthropoda; Insecta; Coleoptera; Silvanidae.
GAAAAUUUAGUUAAAAUAAUAACAUAAAUUUGUCAAAUUUAAAUUAAUAUAAAAUUAAUUUUCU